AUCAGAAGGUUGCGUGUUCGA
RNAcentral lists this non-coding RNA (21 nucleotides) under Arabidopsis thaliana (thale cress). The record is from RNAcentral. Lineage: Eukaryota; Viridiplantae; Streptophyta; Magnoliopsida; Brassicales; Brassicaceae.